Molecule: long non-coding RNA, 284 nt
Organism: Pelmatolapia mariae (spotted tilapia)
Lineage: Eukaryota; Metazoa; Chordata; Actinopteri; Cichliformes; Cichlidae
Exons: 3
Source: RefSeq, a predicted model, not a curated record
GAGAGCAGAGAACAAGAGUGCAGCCGUUUGGUGGAAGGUGAAGAAGAGGUGAGCAUCCAAAAGACGAGCAAGAGGACAGUUUCAUAGGAGACAUCACGGCACAAUAAAGGCUAGAAACUCGCCUGAUGUAGUGGUAAGGCCUUAUUCACCACUAGAUGGAGACAACCUGGCACAGUCUAUAGAUCCAGUCACACUUUCUACCUUCACCUGUGCAGUAAAGACUGAGAGCAGAGCUGAAACCAACCGUCCAAUCAGUGAGCAGCAUCAACACCUGAGCUUCAUUC